UCUAACGAGAGUUUGAUCCUGGCUCAGAAUCAACGCUGGCGGCGUGCCUCAGACAUGCAAGUCGAACGCGAAAGUCUCCUUCGGGGGACAAGUAGAGUGGCGCACGGGU
Molecule: ribosomal RNA, 109 nt
Filed under: Acidobacteriota bacterium
Lineage: Bacteria; Pseudomonadati; Acidobacteriota
Description: partial 16S ribosomal RNA
Rfam family: Bacterial small subunit ribosomal RNA
Source: RNAcentral